This 1365-nucleotide ribosomal RNA is filed under the name uncultured bacterium. RNAcentral describes it as "bacterial SSU rRNA". It matches the Rfam family "Bacterial small subunit ribosomal RNA", at positions 12 to 1377 of the family's 1533-position model. The record is from RNAcentral.
UUUGAUCAUGGCUCAAGACGAACGCUGGCGGCGUGCUUAACACAUGCAAGUCGAACGAUGAAGCGGUGCUUUGCACCGUGGAUUAGUGGCGAACGGGUGAGUAAUACGUGAGUCGGCCUACCUUUGACUCUGGGAUAAGCCUGGGAAACUGGGUCUAAUACCGGAUACGAUCAAUCUCUGCAUGGGGUGUUGGUGGAAAGCGUUAUGGAGUGGUUUUAGAUGGGCUCACGGCCUAUCAGCUUGUUGGUGAGGUAAUGGCUUACCAAGGCGACGACGGGUAGCCGGCCUGAGAGGGUGACCGGCCACACUGGGACUGAGACACGGCCCAGACUCCUACGGGAGGCAGCAGUGGGGAAUAUUGCACAAUGGGCGCAAGCCUGAUGCAGCGACGCCGCGUGAGGGAUGACGGCCUUCGGGUUUGUAAACCUCUGUUAGCAUCGAAGAAGCGAAAGUGACGGUAGGUGCAGAGAAAGCGCCGGCUAACUACGUGCCAGCAGCCGCGGUAAUACGUAGGGCGCGAGCGUUGUCCGGAAUUAUUGGGCGUAAAGAGCUUGUAGGCGGUUGGUCGCGUCUGCUGUGAAAGGCCGGGGCUUAACUCCGGUUUUGCAGUGGGUACGGGCUAACUAGAGUGCAGUAGGGGAGACUGGAAUUCCUGGUGUAGCGGUGGAAUGCACAGAUAUCAGGAGGAACACCGAUGGCGAAGGCAGGUCUCUGGGCUGUAACUGACGCUGAGAAGCGAAAGCAUGGGGAGCGAACAGGAUUAGAUACCCUGGUAGUCCAUGCCGUAAACGUUGGGCACUAGGUGUGGGGGACAUUCCACGUUUUCCGCGCCGUAGCUAACGCAUUAAGUGCCCCGCCUGGGGAGUACGGCCGCAAGGCUAAAACUCAAAGGAAUUGACGGGGGCCCGCACAAGCGGCGGAGCAUGCGGAUUAAUUCGAUGCAACGCGAAGAACCUUACCAAGGCUUGACAUGCAUUAGAUCGCGUCAGAGAUGGCGUUUCCCUUCGGGGCUGGUGUACAGGUGGUGCAUGGUUGUCGUCAGCUCGUGUCGUGAGAUGUUGGGUUAAGUCCCGCAACGAGCGCAACCCUCGUUCUAUGUUGCCAGCGGUUCGGCCGGGGACUCAUAGGAGACUGCCGGGGUCAACUCGGAGGAAGGUGGGGAUGACGUCAAAUCAUCAUGCCCCUUAUGUCUUGGGCUUCACGCAUGCUACAAUGGCCGGUACAGAGGGUUGCGAUACUGUGAGGUGGAGCUAAUCCUUUAAAGCCGGUCUCAGUUCGGAUUGGGGUCUGCAAACUCGACCCCAAGAAGUCGGAGUCGCUAGUAAUCGCUGUUCGGCAAACGCUGCGGUGUAAUACGUUUCCCGG